GGCCACUCCUCUGUCACCCUCCUUCAGCCAAGUUGAGUCAGAUACCUCUCCUGUGUGCUCCCAUAGCAUGCUACCUCAUCAGAACACUUACCACAAAUAAUUAUACUCAAAUUAUUCUGUAAUUGUCUGUUUACCUGAUUCUCUAUUACUUAGAUCAUCAGGCUAGCACAGUACAUAGGAAGCAAUCAAGAAAUACUGAAAGAAUGAAAGAAUGAACGAACGAACAAACGAAGAGACUUAAGCCUGUGAAAGUUGAUGAGACAACUAAAGGAGAUAAUGGAGAGGACAGAACACUGGAACAAUAUCCACCUUGAGGGGGCAGGAAGAAAGAAGCUAGUGAAGGAAACAGAAUGAACAAUCAAAGAGAGACAGGGUUUCACCGUGUUGUCCUAGCUGGUCUUGAACUCCUGGGCUCAAGCAAUCUGCCCACCUUGGCCUCCCAAAGAGCUGGGAUUACAGGGCUUCUUUGGCAUGUCUCUCUCUCAGCAACCAGCAUAAGUCUGUAUGCAUAGACUCCUGUUGACUCUGCGGAGGUUAUUCAAUCAAGGCAGGCACUGACUUCAAAACCCAUUUUAUUCUUUCACCCAAAGAGCAGAAAAAAGAGAAACCAGCAACAUAACAGUGUGACGCCAACACAAAGGUACUUCUUAAAUUUUUAAAUAAAUGUAUGCCUCUCCAGUUUCAUAUAAAUAUAUUACUGGUCUGAACUUUUA
This is a long non-coding RNA of Pan troglodytes (chimpanzee), 713 nucleotides long. RefSeq lists it as uncharacterized. Lineage: Eukaryota; Metazoa; Chordata; Mammalia; Primates; Hominidae. The record is from RefSeq and is a predicted model, not a curated record. The transcript is spliced from 3 exons.